Quercus robur (English oak) is the source of this 446-nucleotide long non-coding RNA. RefSeq lists it as uncharacterized. The record is from RefSeq and is a predicted model, not a curated record. NCBI's taxonomy places the organism in Eukaryota, Viridiplantae, Streptophyta, Magnoliopsida, Fagales, Fagaceae. The transcript is spliced from 3 exons.
UCCCCACCACCCACUCGGCUGUCUCCCCCAUUGUUUGCCGACUCUGCCCACGACGGUGGCUGUAUAUUUGUACCCACCCCUGGCCGACCGACACCACCUGUAGUUCAAGCUGAGCCCACCCAGGACCCUUCACUUCCUAACCCUGACGAACCGGCUGCACAGAUCGAACAGAUACAGGGUGAGAAUAUAAUGCCGGUACAUGGGUUGCGAAGAUCACUCCGCACUGACAUACAUCCCCCUGGUUGUGGGACCGGCGACGGUAAGACGAGACCGGCGAAGGCAAUUGUGAGGAAACGAAAAGAUCGUUGAGCCGUUGAUGAUGUGGAGCUUAUGGGGUAGUUGGACGACGUGUUAUUGUUCAUGUAACAGCUAGCGGAUAAAACUUUGACAACAUUUUUUGGACAUAAAAGACUGACAGAUUUUUGGAGAGCAUACAUGACAGCAGA